AACGCGAAGAACCUUACCUGGACUUGACAUACAACUGACCGUGUUAGAGAUAACAUUUUCUCGCAAGAGACAGUUGAACAGGUGCUGCAUGGCUGUCGUCAGCUCGUGCCGUGAGGUGUUGGGUUAAGUCCCGCAACGAGCGCAACCCUUGUCGUUAGUUGCCAGCACGUAAUGGUGGGCACUCUAGCGAGACUGCCUGGGUUAACCAGGAGGAAGGUGAGGAUGACGUCAAGUCCGCAUGGCCUUUAUGUCCAGGGCUACACACGUGCUACAAUGGCCGGUACAGAAGGCAGCAAUACCGCGAGGUGGAGCAAAUCCCAAAAGCCGGCCCCAGUUCGGAUUGCAGUCUGCAACUCGACUGCAUGAAGUUGGAAUUGCUAGUAAUGGCGAGUCAGCAACAUUGCCGUGAAUACGUUCCCGGGCCUUGUA
Molecule: ribosomal RNA, 429 nt
Filed under: uncultured Chlamydiae bacterium
Lineage: Bacteria; Pseudomonadati; Chlamydiota; Chlamydiia
Description: bacterial SSU rRNA
Rfam family: Bacterial small subunit ribosomal RNA
Source: RNAcentral